Molecule: ribosomal RNA, 253 nt
Filed under: uncultured bacterium
Lineage: Bacteria
Description: partial 16S ribosomal RNA
Rfam family: Bacterial small subunit ribosomal RNA
Source: RNAcentral
UACGUAGGCAGCGAGCGUUGUUCGGAGUUACUGGGCGUAAAGGGUGUGUAGGCGGUUGGUUAAGUUUGGUGUGAAAUCUCCCGGCUCAACUGGGAGGGUGCGCCGAAUACUGAGUGACUCGAGUGCGGGAGAGGAGAGUGGAAUUCCUGGUGUAGCGGUGAAAUGCGUAGAUAUCAGGAGGAACACCGGUGGUGUAGACGGCUCUCUGGACCGUAACUGACGCUGAGACACGAAAGCGUGGGUAGCAAACAGG